RNAcentral lists this ribosomal RNA (464 nucleotides) under uncultured bacterium. RNAcentral's name for it is "bacterial SSU rRNA". It matches the Rfam family "Bacterial small subunit ribosomal RNA", at positions 30 to 484 of the family's 1533-position model. The record is from RNAcentral.
AUUGAACGCUGGCGGCAUGCUUUACACAUGCAAGUCGAACGGUAACAGGCCUUCGGGUGCUGACGAGUGGCGAACGGGUGAGUAAUGCAUCGGAACGUGCCCAAUCGUGGGGGAUAACGUAGCGAAAGUUACGCUAAUACCGCAUAAGCCCUGAGGGGGAAAGCAGGGGAUCGCAAGACCUUGCGCGAAUGGAGCGGCCGAUGUCAGAUUAGCUAGUUGGUGGGGUAAAGGCCUACCAAGGCGACGAUCUGUAGCGGGUCUGAGAGGAUGAUCCGCCACACUGGGACUGAGACACGGCCCAGACUCCUACGGGAGGCAGCAGUGGGGAAUUUUGGACAAUGGGCGCAAGCCUGAUCCAGCCAUGCCGCGUGCGGGACGAAGGCCUCGGUUGUAACGUAGCUUUGUUACGGUAACGAAACGGUUACGUUUCUAAUUACAGAGAGACUAAUAGACGGUACCGUAAC